UACGUAGGGAGCUAGCGUUGUUCGGAAUUACUGGGCGUAAAGCGCACGUAGGCGGCGCGGUAAGUCGGGUGUGAAAUCUCGGAGCUUAACUCCGAAACUGCAUUCGAUACUGCCGUGCUUGGGGACUGGAGAGGAGACUGGAAUUUACGGUGUAGCGGUGAAAUGCGUAGAUAUCGUAAGGAAGACCAGUGGCGAAGGCGGGUCUCUGGACAGUUCCUGACGCUGAGGCACGAAGGUCAUGGGAGCAAACGGG
RNAcentral lists this ribosomal RNA (253 nucleotides) under uncultured bacterium. RNAcentral describes it as "partial 16S ribosomal RNA". It matches the Rfam family "Bacterial small subunit ribosomal RNA", at positions 524 to 776 of the family's 1533-position model. The record is from RNAcentral.